This 506-nucleotide ribosomal RNA is filed under the name uncultured bacterium. RNAcentral describes it as "partial 16S ribosomal RNA". It matches the Rfam family "Bacterial small subunit ribosomal RNA", at positions 29 to 523 of the family's 1533-position model. The record is from RNAcentral.
AGUGAACGCUGGCGGUAGGCCUAACACAUGCAAGUCGAACGGCAGCACAGGAGAGCUUGCUCUCUGGGUGGCGAGUGGCGGACGGGUGAGGAAUACAUCGGAAUCUACUCUGUCGUGGGGGAUAACGUAGGGAAACUUACGCUAAUACCGCAUACGACCUACGGGUGAAAGCAGGGGAUCCUCGGACCUCGCGCGAUUGAAUGAGCCGAUGUCGGAUUAGCUAGUUGGCGGGGGAAAGGCCCACCAAGGCGACGAUCCGUAGCUGGUCUGAGAGGAUGAUCAGCCACACUGGGACUGAGACACGGUCCAGACUCCUACGGGAGGCAGCAGUGGGGAAUAUUGGACAAUGGGCGCAAGCCUGAUCCAGCCAUACCGCGUGGGUGAAGAAGGCCUUCGGGUUGUAAAGCCCUUUUGUUGGGAAAGAAAUCCAGCUGGCUAAUACCCGGUUGGGAUGACGGUACCCAAAGAAUAAGCACCGGCUAACUUCGUGCCAGCAGCCGCCGUAA